GAGGGUGUAGCUCAGUGGUAGAGCGCAUGCUUAGCAUGCAUGAGGUCCUGGGUUCAAUCCCCAGUACCUCCA
RNAcentral lists this transfer RNA (72 nucleotides) under Camelus bactrianus (Bactrian camel). It matches the Rfam family "tRNA". From Rfam's summary of the family: Transfer RNA (tRNA) molecules are approximately 80 nucleotides in length. Lineage: Eukaryota; Metazoa; Chordata; Mammalia; Artiodactyla; Camelidae. The record is from Rfam by way of RNAcentral. RNAcentral also lists the same sequence under 2 other names.